GAACGGGUGAGGAUCACGUGAGAAACCUGCCCCAGACUCUGGGAUAACAAUUGGAAACGAUUGCUAAUACCGGAUACGCCCUUCGGGGGAAAGGCUUCGGCCACCGUUUGAGGAUCCCGCGUCCGAUUAGCUAGUUGGUAGGGUAACGGCCUACCAAGGCGAUAAUCAAUAGCUGAUUUGAGAGGAUGAUCAGCCACACUGGGACUGAGAUACGGCCCAGACUCC
Molecule: ribosomal RNA, 225 nt
Filed under: uncultured bacterium
Lineage: Bacteria
Description: partial 16S ribosomal RNA
Rfam family: Bacterial small subunit ribosomal RNA
Source: RNAcentral